This 1602-nucleotide long non-coding RNA is filed under the name Marmota monax (woodchuck). Lineage: Eukaryota; Metazoa; Chordata; Mammalia; Rodentia; Sciuridae. The record is from RNAcentral.
CACAACUUCUCUGAACCUCUGUUUUCUCACCUCUGAAAAAGUGGGUUAAAAUUCUGAUUUUCUAAAAUUUGUUUUGAUACUAGGGUUUCAACCUAGUAUCGAGCCAUUCCCCCCAGCACUUAUUUUUAAUUUUGAGACAGAGUCUCAUUAAGUUUCUGAGGGCCUUACUAAAUUACUGAGGCUGGUCUCAAACUUAUGAUCCUCCUGUCUCAGCUAAGUCACUAGGAUUACAGGCUUACACCACCACACUUAGCUUAGAGUUUUGAUCUCUAACCCAACUGUAAACUCUUUGAGGAAACACACUGUAUGAUUUAUGAUCAGUUUAGCACAUGGUAAGUCAUCAAAGUAUUAAAUGAGUGAGCACAGAAUAACUCUUGGAGCUGGGACUGUAGGGUUCUAGUUCCAGUGGGAGCUCACUGGACUGAAGGUUGUAGCAUUGGCUUUUUCUCCUUUUAUUCUCCCCUAUGUUAGUGAAAAAAAACAUGUGAAGUGUAUUUAUUUUUUUUUCUAACUUCCCUACUGAUCUUAUGUAGCACGAUGUGCUAUGUACUGUUUUGAGAGUUUUACAAAUAUUAACUUACAAAAUACAAUCAUCAUAGGAAUAGGGAGUACUAUUAGGCCUAUUUUACAGGUAAGUUUAUCAAGGGAGAGAAGGGUUAGGACCCUUCCCCAAGGACACAGAGUUAAUAAUUGGGGAUCUGGAAUUGGAACCUCAGCAGUCCAUUUCUAGAAUUCACUUUCUUUCCAUUUUGUUAUACAAAAUUGAAACAUUUAAUGAUAAUGUUAACAUCUUUAGAAUAUUAAAAUAGGAAAUGUUAGAGUGGAAAUAAAAUAUCUAAAUUUAGAACAGCAGGUAGUUUGAAAAAUUACAACCCCUAGGUUGGAAAUAAACAGUGAAACAUGCUAUCUUACUAUCUACAAUUCAUGCCUGUUGCAUUUUCACACCAGUAUCAUCCAUAGUAAUGCUAUUUAGUCAGAACUUGUUUUUAAAACCAUAUUGAGUUUUAUGUUCUUAUUUUACACAUACAUAUUAAAUCUAUGAACAUAUUUUCUUCAUAUCUUAUGACGUAAAAUAAUCAUAUGCUAAUUAAGGUUACAGUCAAGCAGUAUAAAAGGAUUUUCCUUGCUUUGGUAAAACAAUGUGUCAUUGAAAUAAAAUAGAUGAAGGUCAGCCUUUGUGACCUCAGGUUUUUCUGGCAAAGGCUUUGUUGCUUUGUGCUAUACCUUGGCUCUGCAGUGUUUGUCUGAGAAGAUACUUGAGAUACAUAGCUUUGGACCGGGUAUAAGUUAUAGCUCUGUUUUGCUGGUAGCUCAGAUUGACACUGAAUCUUUAUUCCAAAUCAAAUAUCUUUUUCCUUCUUUCCUUUCUUUCUUUGUGUGUGUUGUACUGUGGACUGAAUCCAGAACCUUGUACUAGUAGGCAAGUGCUCUAUCACUGAGCUUAUAUCCCCAGACCUUUUUAUUUUAUUUUAAGACAGGUUCUCUCUGAGUUGCCAAGGCUGAUCUCCAACUUGUGAGAUCUCCUGCCUCCUACUCCCAAGUGGAUAGGAUUACAGGCAUGCAUCACUGUGUCCUGCUCAGUUUUUCUUUCUUAUGCAGCUA